CUCAGUUCGGAUUGGAGUCUGCAACCCGGCUCCAUGAAGCUGGAUUCGCUAGUAAUCGCGCAUCAGCCACGGCGCGGUGAAUACGUUCCCGGGCCUUGUACACACCGCCCGUCAAGCCAUGGGAGCCGGGGGUGCCUGAAGUGCGUGAGCGCAAGCAGCGCCCUAAGGUAAAACCGGUGACUGGGGCUAAGUCGUAACAAGGUAUC
RNAcentral lists this ribosomal RNA (206 nucleotides) under uncultured bacterium. Its description in RNAcentral is "partial 16S ribosomal RNA". It matches the Rfam family "Bacterial small subunit ribosomal RNA", at positions 1287 to 1500 of the family's 1533-position model. The record is from RNAcentral.